CCCUUGUCAAGAUUACUAGUUGAUCCAGCACGUAGAAUUGGGUCACACAGAUGACUAAUAGGUAACGUAUUACUGGGCCUUAGAAUGGCCGGACUUAACGUACCAAAUAAUAGUCAGGAUACUUGCAGAGGUCAAGGGAUACAGAAAGAGACACAACGAUAAGAGAAAGCCAGAAGUCAGUGAUACCAGAAUACAGGGAAGUCAAAAUCAAAGCCAAAGUCAAAAACCAGAAGUAACUAGAAUCAGGAACGCGCUCUCGGACAACCACAAGGGAAACCAUGACAGGGCACUGAACAGGAUGAGAACUGGGCCUAAAUCUAGAUCUGAUAGGCUGUAACCGGCCUUUGACCCCAAAGGCAGCUACCAG
Pelobates cultripes (western spadefoot toad) is the source of this 367-nucleotide non-coding RNA. The record is from the annotation of a GenBank genome assembly. NCBI's taxonomy places the organism in Eukaryota, Metazoa, Chordata, Amphibia, Anura, Pelobatidae.